GCCACACAGCUCUUUGUCCCGCAGACAUUGGGACAGCACUUCUCAAAGGUCUCGCAUUCCUGCAGGGUAAGAAAACAACCCAAUUACUGGGGACUGAGUUAAGUCUUCUUUAGACACCCAGCAAACAGAGACCCCAGAAACUUUUAAGGUUUCAAGCUCAGUAGACCCAAAUCUGUCACUCGAUCCCAAACUCGGUGUCCCCACCACCACCAAGGGUAAACCCCUCCAGCAUCUCUCAGGAGGUGGCUAAACACGUUGGGAGUUCUGAAGCGCUUCAAGAAAAGCCUCUAGAGAAGGAAAAGGUAUUGCUAUUUCUUAAACACUAACCACAUCAUAAGUCUUUCCUAGAGUCACAUGGACUGCUUGACUACAGAACUAACAACCCCCCUUUGGCACUCCGAAAUGCCUGAGGACAAGCCCUGAGAAACAAGAGCGGAUGGAAAGACUUAUCAUAUGGCUGUAGGCAGUAAUCCUUCUUAUUUUCCACAGAAGUAUGUAAAGUAUUAUUUGAAUUCCCUGAGACUAACAGCCUACUCUUGGAGGUGAAACUGCCAAGGAUUUGUAAUUGUUCACAUUGUAGAGGAAAUAAUAGAAUACCUCAAAAGUAAGGAAAUUCUUGCUCCAAAAAUAAUUUUUCUAUGGUAUUUAGAAAAACAAACCCAAAACAGCUCAUUAUGGCUUCUCUGUCCUAUUUUAGUCCUAUUUUCAAAUGCAGCAUCGCUAUUCUAGUAAUUUAUUACACCCCAUUUUAGCUACAGUCAGCUCUAAAUUGUGGUUAAUUUUAGGAUAAUUUUUGUCUUCUCUACAGAAAAGGUAUUUGAUAUGUGUCCACUGAAUCACAGCGGCUGUUUCAUUAGGGAUUACUUUAAGGGACCAUGAACAUUGCUACCAUGUACAUGACAGGGCACGCUUCCACCAUGUGUUAAACAUCUGCAAGCCCCUGAAAUCCAGCAGAUUUCUCUCUGCACAUUACUAGGUUUCAGAAGCAAAGUUGCAAAACGGUUUCAGCUGAGGUUAAGGAGCAUGCUUUAGCAAAGUCAGACCCCUGCAUGUGAGUUCCCAGGACUCUGCUCAGACAAGGCUAAAGUCACAGGUCAAUUAAAUGCGUGCAUUGUCUGGAUCAAGUCCGGCACGGUGCCGGUGCCUUGCUACAUGGAAUAGAAAGAGACCGUGGUGCAGGCAAGCAAGCUCACCAACGAAACCCACCGCCCGCAACGCAGAGAUAUAGAAAUGUGCAUCACUCACCAGGUCAGCUUCGCACUCCCUCUUGCAAGUGCUCUGCGCAUCUACCCACAGGUUGGGGUUCAUGUCAUUUGGGCAUAUCCCCGCGUGUGAAUACCGUAUGGGAGGUAAAGCUCUCCCUUGCAGAGAGACCUCCAGAAGCAACAGGACACUGCUCUUCCCCAGCAAGAUCCACAUCCACCGAGUGAACGGCGCCAACAACAUCUCAGAACUUCUCCAGGGCAGUGGCAGUGACCGAGCUGGAGGUAGUUCUUGUUUGCCUGGGGUUGCUUGUUUUGGUGAGCCUUAAAUUUUUGAGGAACCCAAAUGCACCUGACUUCUGUAAAAGCUUCAGCAAGCUCCUUUGCUGCCUCUCCUGAUAGUGCAGCUUGGUCUGGACCUCAUUGGAUUAAAGGUCCUAGGAAGUUACCCCCUUAUUUUAAGAGAAACGCUAAUAGUCUGAGCAGAGUUAGCUCUAUUUAUACCCUGCCUCUGUUAACAAGUCAGAAAAAGUAAACUUGAUUUCUUUGACAGGCACACGCUUCCUAUGUCCUGGUGGCAGUCAGACAGAUUUGUUGCAAGAAAAAAAAGCUGGAAAGAGUUUAAAAGGCUGGAACUGGCACGGUGGGACCCCUGCAUGUUUCUGAAUGCAGGGAGGCCUUCUUAACCCCUUUAGACCUAAAGUACUUCCCUAUGCUAAGAAUGGCAUUUACUUCUGAAAGGGUACUUGUCUAAAUAACAGGGACCCACGAUCAGGGGAUUUCCCCACGGCAAGGGGCUACACAAUCACUUGCUAAAGGGAACAAGUAAUAGGAUUGAAGCAAUUAAAGCUAGAAUAUCAUAUUUUAACAAAGGAAGCAGGGAAGAAAUAACUUAUUUAAACUUAGGAUCUGCAAAGCAGAAUGUCUUCAUAACUCCCCCCCCGGGGCUCCUCCGGGCUUUUUUUUUUCUCUGUGGUGUGGAUAUUUCCAGGAUGCUGCUUUUACUGCUGCCCUCCAACCCCACCAGCAAGAUGUUAAAAGUGUCCCUGAAUUCCUCCACAUUUCCCGACAGAGAGAUCCCGUCAUACAGUGCAUUGCUGACCCCUUUAACGGCGACAACAAAAAAAAAUAGUAGAAGUUCAACUCUAUGGAAACCUGCAUAAAGGAAUGUACAGCAUUUUUGCAUUGGGGGGGUUGGAAAUUCAGUCAAGCUGAGUUUGUCGUUCCCUGAUUAUUACAGCAAGGGGCCGAUCCUGUUCGUGCUGAACGCUUGCCAAAAUGCAGAGGCAUACGGCAGAAGCACGAGCUGCUCAGCACCUGGCAGGAUUAGAGCCUCUGGGCUGAAUUCUGGGCUGGCUUGGCUGAAUCCUGCUGGGUGCCCAGGGCCUCCUGGGAGGACCAGAAUGAGGAUGGGUUGCCCAGAGGCACUUUUCAGCCACAGGGGAGCAGAGCAGGGCUCUGAAGAACCAGACGCAGGCUCGUGGCAUAUGAAUGGAGAAGUCUUCUGCUUUGCUACGGCCACCUCCAUCCUGACAGAACUUCUCCAAGGACGGGUCAGUGGUAUCAUUAAAGGAAAGGCCAUCUGAAUGUCUAGAUUUGAUGUCUUGUCACCCCAGUGUUGGGUCAGCGUUUGGCACAGUGGAGAGCAGCAGGGACAUCCCAUAGGAGCCUGGAUGGCUA
Oxyura jamaicensis (ruddy duck) is the source of this 2882-nucleotide long non-coding RNA. RefSeq lists it as uncharacterized. The record is from RefSeq and is a predicted model, not a curated record. Lineage: Eukaryota; Metazoa; Chordata; Aves; Anseriformes; Anatidae. The transcript has 5 exons.